RNAcentral lists this ribosomal RNA (741 nucleotides) under uncultured bacterium. RNAcentral's name for it is "bacterial SSU rRNA". It matches the Rfam family "Bacterial small subunit ribosomal RNA", at positions 51 to 790 of the family's 1533-position model. The record is from RNAcentral.
ACACAUGCAGUCGAGCGGAUGAGAGAGCUUGCUCUCUGAUUCAGCGGCGGACGGGUGAGUAAUGCCUAGGAAUCUGCCUGGUAGUGGGGGACAACGUUUCGAAAGGAACGCUAAUACCGCAUACGUCCUACGGGAGAAAGUGGGGGAUCUUCGGACCUCACGCUAUCAGAUGAGCCUAGGUCGGAUUAGCUAGUUGGUGAGGUAACGGCUCACCAAGGCGACGAUCCGUAACUGGUCUGAGAGGAUGAUCAGUCACACUGGAACUGAGACACGGUCCAGACUCCUACGGGAGGCAGCAGUGGGGAAUAUUGGACAAUGGGCGAAAGCCUGAUCCAGCCAUGCCGCGUGUGUGAAGAAGGCCCUCGGGUCGUAAAGCACUUUAAGCUAGGAGGAAGGGCUGUAACCUAAUACGUUGCAGCUUUGACGUUACCAGCAGAAUAAGCACCGGCUAACUCUGUGCCAGCAGCCGCGGUAAUACAGAGGGUGCAAGCGUUAAUCGGAAUUACUGGGCGUAAAGCGCGCGUAGGUGGCUUGGUAAGUUGAAUGUGAAAUCCCCGGGCUCAACCUGGGAACUGCAUCCAAAACUGCCUGGCUAGAGUACGGUAGAGGGUGGUGGAAUUUCCUGUGUAGCGGUGAAAUGCGUAGAUAUAGGAAAGGACACCAGUGGCGAAAGCGACCACCUAGACUGAUACUGACACUGAGUGCGAAAGCGUGGGGAGCAAACAGGAUUAGAUACCCUGG